UAUUAGCGCCAGUACUUUCCCGGACGAAUGAUAUGGAGAGUUGACGAGGUGGAAGGAGUAUCGAAAGUUCGGCGGAUGCCUUCCCGCAUCAUCCGGGUGCGUCAUAUGCCGUUAAACCCUGCGGGCGACCGCAGCUUACAGAGG
This 144-nucleotide non-coding RNA is filed under the name Candidatus Caccomorpha excrementavium. RNAcentral describes it as "glmS glucosamine-6-phosphate activated ribozyme". It matches the Rfam family "glmS glucosamine-6-phosphate activated ribozyme aptamer", at positions 8 to 151 of the family's 167-position model. Rfam says of the family: This entry contains a glucosamine-6-phosphate activated ribozyme that is found in the mRNA for GlmS. Lineage: Bacteria; Bacillati; Bacillota; Clostridia. The record is from RNAcentral.